This 1233-nucleotide ribosomal RNA is filed under the name Salmonella enterica subsp. enterica serovar Indiana. Its description in RNAcentral is "partial 23S ribosomal RNA". It matches the Rfam family "Bacterial large subunit ribosomal RNA", at positions 583 to 1733 of the family's 2925-position model. Lineage: Bacteria; Pseudomonadati; Pseudomonadota; Gammaproteobacteria; Enterobacterales; Enterobacteriaceae. The record is from RNAcentral.
CUUCGGGGUGUGACUGCGUACCUUUUGUAUAAUGGGUCAGCGACUUAUAUUCUGUAGCAAGGUUAACCGAAUAGGGGAGCCGGAGGGAAACCGAGUCUUAAUUGGGCGUUAAGUUGCAGGGUAUAGACCCGAAACCCGGUGAUCUAGCCAUGGGCAGGUUGAAGGUUGGGUAACACUAACUGGAGGACCGAACCGACUAAUGUUGAAAAAUUAGCGGAUGACCUGUGGCUGGGGGUGAAAGGCCAAUCAAACCGGGAGAUAGCUGGUUCUCCCCGAAAGCUAUUUAGGUAGCGCCUCGUGAAUUCAUCUCCGGGGGUAGAGCACUGUUUCGGCUAGGGGGCCAUCCCGGCUUACCAACCCGAUGCAAACUGCGAAUACCGGAGAAUGUUAUCACGGGAGACACACGGCGGGUGCUAACGUCCGUCGUGAAGAGGGAAACAACCCAGACCGCCAGCUAAGGUCCCAAAGUCAUGGUUAAGUGGGAAACGAUGUGGGAAGGCCCAGACAGCCAGGAUGUUGGCUUAGAAGCAGCCAUCAUUUAAAGAAAGCGUAAUAGCUCACUGGUCGAGUCGGCCUGCGCGGAAGAUGUAACGGGGCUAAACCAUGCACCGAAGCUGCGGCAGCGAACGUAUCACCCAAGACAACUUUGCGGAGUUGACGAUUGACGGAGCGAAGCGACGUCAAAGCGUUCAUUAAAGUCGAGUUGGCUUAGGGAUACGUUCGUUGGGUAGGGGAGCGUUCUGUAAGCCUGUGAAGGUGGCCUGUGAGGGUUGCUGGAGGUAUCAGAAGUGCGAAUGCUGACAUAAGUAACGAUAAAGCGGGUGAAAAGCCCGCUCGCCGGAAGACCAAGGGUUCCUGUCCAACGUUAAUCGGGGCAGGGUGAGUCGACCCCUAAGGCGAGGCCGAAAGGCGUAGUCGAUGGGAAACGGGUUAAUAUUCCCGUACUUGGUGUUACUGCGAAGGGGGGACGGAGAAGGCUAUGUUGGCCGGGCGACGGUUGUCCCGGUUUAAGCGUGUAGGUGUGUGUUCCAGGUAAAUCCGGUUCACUUUAACACUGAGGCGUGACGACGAGGCACUACGGUGCUGAAGCAACAAAUGCCCUGCUUCCAGGAAAAGCCUCUAAGCAUCAGGUAACAUCAAAUCGUACCCCAAACCGACACAGGUGGUCAGGUAGAGAAUACCAAGGCGCUUGAGAGAACUCGGGUGAAGGAACUAGGCAAAAUGGUGCCGUAA